This 430-nucleotide ribosomal RNA is filed under the name uncultured bacterium. RNAcentral's name for it is "bacterial SSU rRNA". It matches the Rfam family "Bacterial small subunit ribosomal RNA", at positions 355 to 776 of the family's 1533-position model. The record is from RNAcentral.
UCGAGGAUAUUUAGCAAUGCCCGAAAGGGUGACUAUGCGACGCCGCGUGUGCGAUGAAGGUCUUCGGAUCGUAAAGCACUGUCAGCUGGGAGGAAUCUCUGGAGGCUUAAUAAGCUUGCAGGGUGACAGUACCGGCAGAGGAAGCCACGGCUAACUCCGUGCCAGCAGCCGCGGUAAUACGGAGGUGGCAGGCGUUACUCGGAUUGAUUGGGUGUAAAGGGUGUGUAGGUGGCGAGUUAAGUCGAAUGUGAAAUCCCAUGGCUCAACCAUGGAACUGCAUUCGAAACUGACUUGCUUGAGCGACUGAGAGGUAAAUGGAAUUCCCGGUGUAACAGUGAAAUGUGUAGAUAUCGGGAGGAACACCAGUGGCGAAGGCGAUUUACUGGCAGUCUGCUGACACUGAAACACGAGAGCUAGGGGAGCAAACAGG